RNAcentral lists this long non-coding RNA (1281 nucleotides) under Olea europaea subsp. europaea. Lineage: Eukaryota; Viridiplantae; Streptophyta; Magnoliopsida; Lamiales; Oleaceae. The record is from RNAcentral.
UCUUGUUAAAGUUAGAUCAACCUGACAGACGUGUUAUGGGUGGUCUCUAUCAAUAUGCAUGAACAACUUUUCUACUUUUUAGUUAGUCUUACUGCCUUCUAGACUCGUAGAAAGUUCUAAGUGUGUACGGAAAUUAAUAUUAGGUUAUCAAAUGUUUGACCUUAAUUAAUAAGAAUAAUCAAAUGAAUUUCCAAAUAUUAAUUAGGUGGUCAUAAAAAAAGAGACUGCCUUUGAUUUAAAACUAAAAUUAAUUAUAUUAUGAAUGACAUCUUUUUCUCGACUUUGUUAUACAAAUGAAGUAAUCAUCUAUUUGUCAAGAUUUUAAUUUUUGAUUGGCAAUGUCAAUGUUUUUGAGAAGCUUCUCAUACUUAGGGAUUUAUUAACUUGCACAAUAAAAUAGUUUAAAGAUAUUAUUCUCAGUCAGUCAUAAUAAGAUAUAUGUGUCUCGAUUAAAAUCUUAGCUCUAAAAAAGACAUUGAACUAUAUUUUCAAUUUUUUCGCAUAGCUAAUUUAGUUAUAUAUAUUCGAUUGUUUCUCAUUAUUCAAUUUUUGCUCUUUCUUUAUUAGUUCGCUACGAUAAUGCACUGAAAUAUUCGAUCUUAUCUAAAGCUAGCAAGGGAGUUACAUUCAAGUAAUUACUGCUACAUGGAGUAAUAUAUCAAUUUAGGUAUUGAAUAUUACUACCGAAGUCGUAACUCGACGUAAAGUUACAUCAAAUAUUACCGUAAAUGUUACAUGAAUAAAUAGCUCAUUUCAAAAAGGGGAUAACUGCAGCCACGAUCUCAAACAUUGCAAAUAUUUGCGUGUUUUACCCUAAUCUUUCAUUUAUUACGCCCUUAGUCCCAAACCUUUCAAGUACAUGCAGUUAGAGGAUAAAUGGAUGAAAACCGUCCACUUUUUCAUUAGUUGACUAGAAAAUUAAGUUUGACCAAAUUUUUAACAAUUUUAAUGAGGACAAAGUAGUAAUUUUAUAUUUACCGCAUUAAACAAUUAAAGUAACUAAAUAAAAACAAAAAAAAAAGAAAUAUUAAAACUAAAUUUCCACCUCCCCCGCCCACACCCCCCACCUCCCUCGCAAACCAUGGAUCUUUUUCAGUCAACGUCCACCGGUUGUCAACAUGCGAAAAUGUUUCAAAAUUCCCAAAUUUUACUUUUUGAUCCUGCGAAAAAGUAAUGGAACCUAUAAAAUCCUCAACUAACAGCUAAAAUCUGCCAUAGCUUCACUAGCGACGACAUUGGCAACCUAGUGUUCACUAAAAUCCUACACUGCAAGUGUAGGGG